This 253-nucleotide ribosomal RNA is filed under the name uncultured bacterium. RNAcentral describes it as "partial 16S ribosomal RNA". It matches the Rfam family "Bacterial small subunit ribosomal RNA", at positions 524 to 776 of the family's 1533-position model. The record is from RNAcentral.
UACGUAGGGUCCGAGCGUUGUCCGGAAUUACUGGGCGUAAAGAGCUCGUAGGUGGUUUGUCGCGUUGUUCGUGAAAACUCACAGCUUAACUGUGGGCGUGCGGGCGAUACGGGCAGACUUGAGUACUGCAGGGGAGACUGGAAUUCCUGGUGUAGCGGUGGAAUGCGCAGAUAUCAGGAGGAACACCGGUGGCGAAGGCGGGUCUCUGGGCAACAACUGACGCUGAGGAGCGAAAGCGUGGGGAGCGAACAGG